This 4361-nucleotide long non-coding RNA is filed under the name Salmo salar (Atlantic salmon). RNAcentral describes it as "lncRNA (ENSSSAG00000112696.1)". Lineage: Eukaryota; Metazoa; Chordata; Actinopteri; Salmoniformes; Salmonidae. The record is from RNAcentral.
GGCCUGAGUCAGAGCUGGGCAGUGAUAUCCUGGCCUUAAUCAACAAUGGAAACAAAAACAUCCCUAACAGGGACAAUAAAGUGACCAUGCUGCUACAGGAGUCUCUGGGUAAUAUUUUAACUGUCGUACGACCGUGCUGGCCCAUGUGACUGACUUACCAGAACACUGCUCAGAGACACUGUCAACUGUCCAGAUCACCUCACGCAUUCGUAGGACACAGAAGAAGGCAAAAAUAUCAUUCAACAACCUGCUCUCCCAGUGGUAGAAGCCUGACUAGAGAGUGGAGUGGAGGGAACUCCACCAGUGCUGUAGACUCUGACCUCAGUGACCUGCCCCAGCUCAGGCUCAGUGGCGACCUGCUAGAUGGCCACUCCAGCAGUGACCAGUCCUGUGACACGGUCAUUCACGUCAACCCUGAUGGCUCUGUCCAGCAGCCCGGUACGGAGCUGUACCAGCAGGGCCAGCCGGAGUUUACCCCCAUCAUCCCCUUUCUACACCAGCAUAAGGCUGAAGAGGAAUCGGAAGCUAUGCUUUUUGCUCUACAGCAAGAACUAAUGCUGCACCUUCUAAACAUCAUGCCCAGACCGGAGGGAGAGAGGAAGGAGAAUGAGAGCAUCGUCCAAGAACAACUUUUUCAGAAUACAGCAGAAGAAGUGGGCCAGUGUGAGAGGGACUUGAGUCUUAACUGUGACACGUUCGCCAAGCUGCAGGAGCGACUUGGGUGCAUCGACAGGAGCGAGACGGUUACCACAACUAAGUCCUCUCCAGUCCCCCAAGAUGGCUCAGGCUGACCUGAGACUGGGGAGAAUACCCCUUUCUUUAAACCACUGAAUAUGGAUUUGAAGUGUAGUGAGUUUUCCAUUGUGGCUGAGAAAGAGAGCUUGGUGACAGAUGGCAGUCUUCCUGUCGACAAUAUUCAGAGAGGACUCUGGUCUGUAUGACUGUGAGGAUGGCAGUGCAGCCAGCUCCAACGAGGACCAACCACACCCCUGGGGCUCUAUCAGUUUACAUUCAGUCUGCCAGAGCCUGAGCCAGGGCAACCCCUCUGAGUACAGCUACCUACCACAGCACCGUGAAAUCUAUUCUCAGAUCAGCCCUGUGCCAAACUCACAUCCUCCUCUUCCCCUGUCUCUGGAGCCAGCUGGAUACCCAGGGAGGUCUGACUGGCUGCAACCCAAGACCAGGACCUCUCCGGCGGUCAAGAGCUCCCCGAUAUCCCCCUCUCUCUCUCCAUCCCUCUUCUCCCCCUCGUCCUCCACCACCUCCUCCUUGGCUACCAGUGUUCCCUUAGGAGAGAUGAUCCUUCCCCAGCUGUCCACCACAGAGUUAGACCUAAAGGAUAUGAAGGCUACCAUCACAGUGACGGUCUAGCAGCCGUUGGGACAGACGGGUCAGGACGAGCUGGUGUUCAAUGCGGCAGAGGAGGUAGGAGCUAUCCCAUAAGAGGGGACGUUACCACCUGUUUCCUCACCUGUCAUGACAGAGUCCUACCUGUUCCCUCUUCCUUAAUUACUGCAAAGCUGUCUGGGGACUGUAGUGAAAGCAGCCGGAAUACACCAGAGAACUGUAACCCUGGUUACCCUGCAGCUAACCAACACAGAAUAGCCAGUCUACCAAGAGGCAGGCAUAAUAUCAACAAGCAGGAGAGCUAUAGUCUGAUGAGAGAGGAGUAUACAAAUAAGGAACCAGAUGUUACAUCAUCCACCCCUGGUAGUCCCAGGGUGACCCUGGAGAGGAGGCCAUCCUCAGCCAGGCAGGGGAUCUGCUCCUGGGCCAGGGAGAGCCUCCCUCUCCCCUUCUCACCAGCUCGGAAGUACAGCCUGGAGCAGCAUACCCAGAGACAGAGAACUAGUAACAGUUCUCUCAGCACAGCCAGUAGUUCACCGUUGGAGCCCAUGCCAUCCACUCUGAGUGUUAGACAUGAUAGCGGGAAGCUGAAAUCCCCUGUAGUGGAAAGCAGUAGGCUGUUCAGUGCUAAACUAGAGCAGAUGGCUAGCAGGACCAACUCUUUAGGUAGAAUACCACUGGAGUUCCACACUCUGGACCGAGGCAGUAGCCUGUCCUCUGUGAGCUCCAAGGGGUCCAAAAGUUUUGAAUGGGAGUCAAACCAUCCCACCCUACCCUGGGCCAGCAGGAGCCCAAGGAGGGCCCCUAGGCCCAUUCCCUUGACGGAUAACAACACCCCCAACACAGCCCAUUCUCCCAAAACCAGCAGGUCAACCUUUAUAACUGACCCCAACACAACCCUCCAGUCUCCAAGAUCCGGCCCGUCUAAGCUCUCUGCAGCAGGGAAACCCGCCCUAAUGCCCGCCGGAUCUCCAUCCCUAGUACCAAGAACCUCAGCUUCUCUCUCAAGGAGCUCCAUCAGUCCAUCAACAGGAGCACCGGUCUUUCCCCUGAUGGGAAGAGUCCUGAGCAAAGUCCACCCUGGUCCACCCAGUCUCUAAGCCAUAACCAGACCCGGUCGCCUCAGACCCCACCACCACGCCUUGCACCAAAGUCCCCCGUCCGGGUCAUCAACGGGCACAUCUUAGAGCUGCUUAGGGGGGCCUCCGGAGGACUACCCCCGGCAGUGGCCGGAGUUACCUGUAGAUCGAUGGGAGAGGCUCACGCUGAUCACCCUGUACCCUCGCCCUAUGCCAGGUUGACCGCCCCCGCAGGCCCAAUCACCUCAGCGGGCACGCCAGUGAUGUCACUAGCGUGUUGAGCGGGGAGCUGCCCCCGGCCAUGGGGAAGACAGCGUUAUUGACCAAUAGGGACAGCAUGGUGAGCAGUGGCUAUGAGAGCAUGGUAAGAGACAGCGAAGCCACAAGGAGCAACACAUCCAACAGAGACUCUAUCAGCGAUAAGAGCUGUUCUAUUAUCAGUGUGGCCCAGAUUGGGAGGAACCCUAAGAGGAGCAGCAGCAAUGGCUCCCACCCGCGGCGUCUCUCCCACGACACGUCCCUGUCUCUCAGGAGGUCAGCCAGUGCCCCCAGAUCUCGCUGGAUAGAGAGUGACAUCCCAGAGGCCUAUGAGAUCAAGGUGUAUGAGAUAGACGACGUGGAGAGGCUGCAGAGGAGGAGGAGACACACAGGGGAUAGCUUGCUUCAGUGCCAAACUCAAGUUCCUGGAGCACCGUCAGCAGAGGGUGGAGGAGAUGAGAGCCAAGUACAACAGCCUGAAGACAGAGCUGGAGCUGGCCAAACAGAACCUCAGGCUGGAGCCAGGGAAAUGGAACAUGGAGUUUGACCUGUGGCAGACGUUUGAGGUGGACUCUCUGGAGCACCUGAAAGCCUUGGAGGUUGUCACGGCGAGGCUGGAGAGCAGGGUCAACCUCUGCAAUGUCAACGUCAUGAUGGUCACAUGCUUCGAUGUUGCCACCAAGCGCCGGCAAGCGAGGAGAUGACGUCGGACGGACAGCAGCAAGGACUCAUGCAGGGUGUUGAAGAGGUGAGCUGCUCAAGGGUUUCCGAGGAUCAGGGAGAGCCCCAAACAACCCCAACAAGAAGACCAGAAUACAAAGAGAUGAAAUAAUAGACCUUAUCCACUCACUGAUGAUACAACCUUCUACUCAUACUUUCCCAACUGCAACAACAACAACAAACUGCCAGAAUCCAAUACGAGUAAGUGGCAACCCUAAAGCAGCCAGCCACGUCCCUCCUGUGGGCCCCGACCCACCGUUUGGGAACCACUGAGUUGGAGGAGAACAACAGCGUGAAGGAGAGGAUGGGUAACAAGAGCACCAGCCCCUCCAGAGACCCAGACACUGAGACGACUCCGAGAGAGGAGAGAAACAACACUGGAACUGCCUCAGGAAGUGGUCCCCCAGGCCCCAGCCCUGACCUGCUAGCCUCACUACAGUCAUUGGGAGAACACAAUGACCACACACUGCUGCCACAGUCUCUACACCAGAUAGCAGAGGCCUACUCCCUGGAUGAGGACUACCAGUGGGCGGUGCAGUUCCUGCAGCUGGAGAAACUGUACCAUGAGCGCCUCCUGUCCAACCUUGCCGCCCUGCAGGAGGACUGGGAGAGCCAGUGGAGAGAGCGUAACAGAGUAGCAGAGAGCACCUCCCCAGCUGAGACCAACAGCACUGGACAGGAACACAUAGAAAUACUGAGCCAGAUCUGCAGGACGCACCAGAGACCAAUGCUUAGUGCGGAAAUGAGCAUGGCAGACACGGUGCUGAAAGACAGCCACAACACCAGGGGGCAGUGUGAUGGGAGAGAGAAAGAAAGGUCACCAUCCCAUCAUGGAAAAGGUCAACACAAAACCCAUCAGAUGAAUUCCUAAAUCAAUAUUAUAGUAUGGCCACUUAGCCUAGAGAUGUGAAUUCGAGGUUGAUGAUAUCGCCCUCUUUGUUCACUGGAAAGCCUCAG